UCGGGUCACGUACAUCCGAGGGUCG
RNAcentral lists this ribosomal RNA (25 nucleotides) under Bactericera curvatinervis. Its description in RNAcentral is "partial 5.8S ribosomal RNA". The record is from RNAcentral. Lineage: Eukaryota; Metazoa; Arthropoda; Insecta; Hemiptera; Triozidae.